This 82-nucleotide transfer RNA is filed under the name Stegodyphus dumicola. Its description in RNAcentral is "tRNA-Ser". It matches the Rfam family "tRNA". Rfam says of the family: Transfer RNA (tRNA) molecules are approximately 80 nucleotides in length. Their secondary structure includes four short double-helical elements and three loops (D, anti-codon, and T loops). The record is from RNAcentral. Lineage: Eukaryota; Metazoa; Arthropoda; Arachnida; Araneae; Eresidae.
GCAGUCGUGGCCGAGUGGUUAAGGCGAUGGACUUGAAAUCCAUUGGGGUCUCCCUGCGUAGGUUCGAAUCCUACCGGCUGCG